This 432-nucleotide ribosomal RNA is filed under the name uncultured bacterium. RNAcentral's name for it is "partial 16S ribosomal RNA". It matches the Rfam family "Bacterial small subunit ribosomal RNA", at positions 29 to 506 of the family's 1533-position model. The record is from RNAcentral.
AACGAACGCUGGCGGCAUGCCUAACACAUGCAAGUCGAACGAGACCUUCGGGUCUAGUGGCGCACGGGUGCGUAACGCGUGGGAACCUGCCCUUAGGUUCGGAAUAACUCCCCGAAAGGGGUGCUAAUACCGGAUAAUGUCUUCGGACCAAAGAUUUAUCGCCUUUGGAUGGGCCCGCGUUGGAUUAGCUAGUUGGUAGGGUAAAAGCCUACCAAGGCGACGAUCCAUAGCUGGUCUGAGAGGAUGAUCAGCCACACUGGGACUGAGACACGGCCCAGACACCUUCGGGGGGGAGGAAGGGGGAAUUAUGGAAAAUGGGCGGAAGCCUGAUUCAGGAAUGCCGGAUGAGUGGUGGAGGGCUUAGGGUUGUAAAGCUCUUUUUACCGGGAUGGUUAUGGCUGUACCGGGGGAAUAAGGCCCGGCUAACUCCGU